RNAcentral lists this ribosomal RNA (211 nucleotides) under uncultured bacterium. RNAcentral's name for it is "partial 16S ribosomal RNA". It matches the Rfam family "Bacterial small subunit ribosomal RNA", at positions 524 to 732 of the family's 1533-position model. The record is from RNAcentral.
UACGUAGGGGCCUAGCGUUGUCCGGAAUUAUUGGGCGUAAAGAGCUCGUAGGCGGUUCGGCAAGUCGGAUGUGAAAUCUCCACGCUUAACGUGGAGGGGCCAUUCGAAACUGCUGUGACUCGAGUCCGGUAGGGGAGUGUGGAAUUCCCGGUGUAGCGGUGAAAUGCGCAGAUAUCGGGAGGAACACCAGUAGCGAAGGCGAGCACGCUGG